RNAcentral lists this long non-coding RNA (373 nucleotides) under Danio rerio (zebrafish). RNAcentral's name for it is "lncRNA si:ch73-234i15.1 (ENSDARG00000102454.2)". Lineage: Eukaryota; Metazoa; Chordata; Actinopteri; Cypriniformes; Danionidae. The record is from RNAcentral.
GCACGAGGUGUCCUCUCACCAGCAGCAGCUGCCAUCUCCUGAUUCAGGUUUGGAAUGCAGUGUAAGUUUUGCAAAUUUGUAAACAGUAGCUGAGAAGUUACACUACAGACUACAUCGCUAUCAAGGACCAUCCUGGCAGCAGCCUUGUUUGUUCGCAGACUGCUUCUGUCUUCUUUAAAGACUCUGAUGUCCGAAAACAGUGGCCUGCAUGUUUUUGGGAGUUUAGGUCUAUGCUGAGUUUUACAGGAUUACUCAAACCAACCUCAAAGAUACCUUCUCUUUUUCGGAUAAAUACGCUAUCAAGUUUUAUGGAUCAUGUGGUGGGCGAUAUGGAGAGAUAAUAAGGACCGCCCUGGACCAACUGGACAAUCAA